Molecule: ribosomal RNA, 253 nt
Filed under: uncultured bacterium
Lineage: Bacteria
Description: partial 16S ribosomal RNA
Rfam family: Bacterial small subunit ribosomal RNA
Source: RNAcentral
UACGUAGGGCGCAAGCGUUGUCCGGAAUUAUUGGGCGUAAAGAGCUCGUAGGCGGCCUGUUGCGUCCGCUGUGAAAUCCCGGGGCUCAACCCCGGAACUGCAUUGGAUACUGCCAUGCUAGAGUACUGGAGAGGAGAUUGGAAUUUACGGUGUAGCAGUGAAAUGCGUAGAUAUCGUAAGGAAGACCAGUGGCGAAGGCGAAUCUCUGGACAGUUACUGACGCUGAGGCACGAAGGCCAGGGGAGCAAACGGG